RNAcentral lists this long non-coding RNA (566 nucleotides) under Manihot esculenta (cassava). Its description in RNAcentral is "long non-coding RNA (MESC_LNC009098)". The record is from RNAcentral. Lineage: Eukaryota; Viridiplantae; Streptophyta; Magnoliopsida; Malpighiales; Euphorbiaceae.
CCUCCUUGGUCUUUUCUUUCAAAACUCAAAUCCUUUCUACUCAAAACCAUACAAACAUGUAAAAACAUUUUAGAAAACCUUUACUUUACCCUUAUAGAGAGCUCCGACAUUCGAGAUUCCACCAGACGGUAAGAAUUUCGAUGCCUGAGUCUAGCCGGGUAUUACAAUUAACCUGUCAGCAAUCAUUAUUAACUACUCUUUGUUCUGGAUAAUUAUUCGAUCGAUGACCAAGUUGCCUGCAGCGAUAACAUAUAUCUCUCGUCAGUUUUUUAUAAGGAUUGGUUUUGCCUCCUUUGUAUUAUGUAAUGGUGACUGCUUUUCCUUACUGUCUCUCCUCUCUUCCAUAGUAUUAUGAAAAUUGCCAGAAUUUACAACCUUAGAAGGCUGUCCACUGUAAUUACCUCUAUACUGCUGAGUUUCUGUCGAACUGAAAUUUCUAUAAUUAAAAUUUCGAUUAGACUAAGGUAGAGGCUGCCAAUCAACACGUCCUUUAACUCUUUCUGCCAUCUCAAUGGCAUCUGCCAAAGUGAAGAUCACAGCUACUCCCAUCAUACAACGAAUUUCAU